Molecule: long non-coding RNA, 419 nt
Organism: Gordionus sp. m RMFG-2023
Lineage: Eukaryota; Metazoa; Nematomorpha; Gordioida; Chordodea; Parachordodidae
Exons: 3
Source: RefSeq, a predicted model, not a curated record
CAUUAUUUGUCAGCAAGAAAUAUUAAUAUAUAGAAAACAAGUCUACUACGAUAAUUUAGUUUUAAAGAUAAUGGGAGUGUGCUGUGUUCAUAAUUGUAAUAAAACAAAUAAAAUAGAAUCUAAUACACAUAUUUCUUAUCAUAAAGGCUCUGCCAAUCAACAAAUUUUCACUGAUUCAAUACUAUAUUACUAAUAACUGAUCUGAUAUUUAUAUUGAUUUUUAUAUACUAUCUAUCUUUGUAUCAAUGUCAUAAAUAUAUCUUAUAUUUUACUCAUUAUUAUUCACCUAUUUUUAAAUAUAAAUUUCCAUUAAAAUCCAAAUAAUUAUUGGAAAAAUGGUUACAGGCUAUAAAUAGGAAAAAUUUUAUGCCUAAUAAAUAUAGUAUUAUUUGUGGAAGGCAUUUUAAAAAUACUUGUUU